RNAcentral lists this ribosomal RNA (1205 nucleotides) under Dugesia corbata. RNAcentral's name for it is "partial 28S ribosomal RNA". It matches the Rfam family "Eukaryotic large subunit ribosomal RNA", at positions 404 to 1431 of the family's 3401-position model. The record is from RNAcentral. Lineage: Eukaryota; Metazoa; Platyhelminthes; Tricladida; Dugesiidae.
AUCGCUUAGAGGUAAACGAGUGAAGCCGAAGMUGWUKUAUGGAAUUCAGUUAACUGUGUGUCUUCUUGAAUUYGGCGAAAUCCAACUAGGAAUUGCUAUUUUUGAGUUUUAAUAUACAUGCGGUUGAUGCACUUUCUGUAUAACAGUACUGCGACCGAUAGCGUCAUUUUUCUGUCGUAAUUUUGAAGGUGAUCAUUUCCUCGGAAAUGGUUUUAUAGCUGGUUACAUGGUUAAAUGAUUUAUUGGUGAUUGCGAUUAACGGUUAUUGACUGGUUUAAUGUUGAUGGUUCUUUUAUAGACUAAAAAUAGGCUGUUUUAGAACAAUUGAUGUUUUUCAUGGUUGAUUUGUUAAUUUAAAGUCYGCAGUGUAUGUAGGUUACUUACUCGUCCCGUCUUGAAACACGGACCAAGGAGUUUUAUAUGAUCGCGAGUCAAAGGGCCUUACGAAACCCCACGGCGAAAUUAAUGUAAAGGUUUACUUCGGUAAGCUGUGAUGUGACCUCGUGGAAACACAGAGUGCAACAUCGACCCGUCUAAAGAUGCUCGCAUCUGGGCGGAGUUUGAGCGAUCAUGUAGAGACCCGAAAGAUGGUGAACUAUGCUUGUGCAGGUUGAAGCCAGGGGAAACUCUGGUGGAGGACCGCCGCGGUUCUGACGUGCAAAUCGAUCGUCGGACAUGAGUAUAGGGGCGAAAGACUAAUCGAACCAUCUAGUAGCUGGUUCCCUCCGAAGUUUCCCUCAGGAUAGCUGACAUUUGUUGUUGUAGUUUUACCUGGUAAAGCGAAUGAUUAGAAGUAUUGGGGACGAAAUGUUCUCAACUUAUUCUCAAACUUUAAAUGGGUUCGAAGUGCGUCUUUCUUCAUUGAAGAUGUGCAUCGAAUACAAAUGUCUAGUGGGCCAUUUUUGGUAAGCAGAACUGGCGAUGUGGGAUGAACCAAACAUCUGGUUAAGGUGCCUAACAUAACGCUCAUGAGAACCCACAAAAGGUGUUGUUUGAUAAAGACAGCAGGACGGUGGACAUGGAAGUCGUCAUCCGCUAAGGAGUGUGUAACAACUCACCUGCCGAAUCAACCAGCCCUGAAAAUGGAUGGCGCUGUAGCGUUAGACCUAUACCGGAUCGAUAUCGCAAGUUACAAAACGAGUAAGCGAUAUCGUGUAGGAGGGUGCCGUGGUUGCUAAGAAGCUACUGGCGUGAGUCAGAGUGGA